AUGAAUGGCCCUUGGGUGGUCAUUCGUCACUUUAAUGAAAUUCUAUAUUCCCAUGAGAAGGAAGGAGGGGCUCCACGCCAAGUAAAGAUGCAAAAUUUCAGAGAUGCGCUGGUCGACUGCCAAUUGGAGGACACGGGAUAUAAGGGUGAAAUAUUUACAUGGAGAAGGAGGAGACUGAGGGAAAGGUUAGACAGAGGUGUGUGUAAUGGCGAGUUCCAUGCACUAUUUCCGAAUGCAACCAUCACCAAUGCUGAGCACUCUAAAUUAGACCAUAGACCUUUGGUC
This 285-nucleotide ribosomal RNA is filed under the name Triticum aestivum (bread wheat). Its description in RNAcentral is "partial small subunit ribosomal RNA". The record is from RNAcentral. Lineage: Eukaryota; Viridiplantae; Streptophyta; Magnoliopsida; Poales; Poaceae.